GGGGAUGUACUUCAGUGGUAGAGUGCUUGCCUAGCAUGCAAGAGACUAUGGGUUCAAACUCCAGUCUCCA
This 70-nucleotide transfer RNA is filed under the name Heterocephalus glaber (naked mole-rat). It matches the Rfam family "tRNA". From Rfam's summary of the family: Transfer RNA (tRNA) molecules are approximately 80 nucleotides in length. Their secondary structure includes four short double-helical elements and three loops (D, anti-codon, and T loops). The record is from Rfam by way of RNAcentral. Lineage: Eukaryota; Metazoa; Chordata; Mammalia; Rodentia; Bathyergidae.